Molecule: ribosomal RNA, 364 nt
Filed under: uncultured bacterium
Lineage: Bacteria
Description: bacterial SSU rRNA
Rfam family: Bacterial small subunit ribosomal RNA
Source: RNAcentral
AACGAACGCUGGCGGCAUGCCUAACACAUGCAAGUCGAACGAGACCUUCGGGUCUAGUGGCGCACGGGUGCGUAACGCGUGGGAAUCUGCCCUUGGGUUCGGAAUAACAGUUAGAAAUGACUGCUAAUACCGGAUAAUGUCUUCGGACCAAAGAUUUAUCGCCCAGGGAUGAGCCCGCGUAGGAUUAGCUAGUUGGUGAGGUAAAGGCUCACCAAGGCGACGAUCCGUUAGCUGGUCUGAGAGGAUGAUCAGCCACACUGGGACUGAGACACGGCCCAGACUCCUACGGGAGGCAGCAGUGGGGAAUAUUGGACAAUGGGGCGAACCCUGAUCCAGCAAUGCCGCGUGAGUGAUGAAGGCCUUA